This 1279-nucleotide long non-coding RNA is filed under the name Piliocolobus tephrosceles (Ugandan red Colobus). RNAcentral describes it as "lncRNA (ENSPTEG00000036295.1)". Lineage: Eukaryota; Metazoa; Chordata; Mammalia; Primates; Cercopithecidae. The record is from RNAcentral.
CGCGCCUCUCGGGCCUCAGAGUGAGGCUGCACGGCCCGGAGGCCUGAAAUCCGCCCUUUGUUCCCUCCCGGGACCGCAGAGCCACAGCACACUGAGCGCCGCAGUCUGGGGAGCCGGAAGCGCUGGCCGGGCGCAGGGCCAGCGACCGCCCCGGGUCUGCGCAGGCGCAGGUCGGGGAAGCCGCGCGCGGUCGGAUUUCUGCGGCCCGCGGCUGCCCUCUCGUGGCCACGAGGCGCCAUGGUACGGCUGCUUCCACGCAGCGGAGGGGCGCUGGCCCGGAGGCUGCGGGUCCAGACCGGCCAGCCAGGGAGGCCAGCCAAGCGCUGUGUUUUUCCAGGUCUGCGCGGGCCAGGGGAGCCCUACGUGUUUGCUUGGUGGGAGUGGUUUACUGGGAAAGUAGACGGAAGGUACCCUGCAAAUCGGCAUGCACUGUAUUGUUUGGGAGUCAACAGCCUGGAAAGCAAAUAUCAGCCGCUUUGGAAUGUGUUUCCUCUUGUCCGGGGUUUGAAGAUUAGUCAUGAAAAACAUCACUCUGCCCUUGCUGAAGUGCUUGCUGGCUACUCGAUCAUUCCACUUCUAUGUCCCAAGAAGGUCUGCUAAGGAGAUGGCUUCUUCAGGGCUUCCGUAUUUUCCAUGCCCGCUCAGCUCCAGACUCCGUCUCAUCCAUGGGUAUUAUCCUGUGCCCCGCGGGGAGGAGGGUGGGGGAGGGUUUCUGCGCCUGGAUUAUUGGUGGGAGGAGAGCAAGUGCAGAAAUGAAGCUAUGACUCUCGCAGAAGUCAUGCAUUCCGUUCAAGGAUAUUCCUGCCUGUAGCCUCCACACAUUGCCUCUGGCUGAGGCCCCUGAGAUUUUUCCGUGUGACCCGGUCACAUUGCAUCUGUAUAGAUUAUCAAAGCACCUCAUGACUGUGGAGGAGGAAGCUGGGGACAGAACAUGGAUCUGGAAGGCUCACAGCAUGGACUUGGUAGGGUGACACAAUGUCCCAUGUUCUUCAAGAAAUGUCUAGACUAGGUGAUUGAUUCUAUCGGAGAUCUGGCACAAUGCUCUUGCCACACAGAGGGGCAAAUUGAGAUCCAGAGAGAAGUGACUGGCCCAGGUCACUCAGCCAGCUGGUGACUGAGCUGGAAUUCGUUCCCAGGUCUCCUGACACCCAGUUCAUUCAUUUUUUGCACGUGUUUUCUGAGGACUUACUGUAUGCUAGGCACUGUUGUAGGUGCUAGGAAUAUACAAAGUGCCUGUAUGGAGCCCGUGUCUUGUAAUGUGUAUGUGGGGAGAUUGUGG